UUAGGUAGUUGGAGAGGUAAUGGCUCCCCAAGCCGACGAUCGGUAGCCGGACUGAGAGGUCGAUCGGCCACAUUGGGACUGAGACACGGCCCAGACUCCUACGGGAGGCAGCAGUGGGGAAUAUUGGGCAAUGGGCAAAGGCCUGAUCCAGCAAUUCUGUGUGGAAGAAGAAGGUUUUCGGAUCGUAAAUUCCUUUCAUUUGGGAAGAAAAGUAUGACGGUACCAAAAGAAGAAGCAACGGCUAAUUACGUGCCAGCAGCCGCGGUAAUACGUAAGUUGCAAGCGUUAUCCGGAAUUACUGGGCAUAAAGGGCAUCUAGGCGGUUUCGCAAGUCAGAAGUGAAAAUUCAGGGCUCAACCCUGUCCUUGCUUUUGAAACUGCGAGACUAGAGUACAGGAGAGGAGGGCGGAACUACAAGUGUAGAGGUGAAAUUCGUAGAUAUUUGUAGGAAUGCCAAUGACGAAGGUAGCUCUCUGGACUGAAACUGACGCUGAAGUGCGAAAGUUAGGGUAGCAAACGGGAUUAGAUACCCCGGUAGUCCUAACUGUAAACGAUGAUUACUGGGUGUGGGGGAGCGAAACCUCUGUGCCGAAGCAAAC
RNAcentral lists this ribosomal RNA (599 nucleotides) under uncultured bacterium. RNAcentral's name for it is "bacterial SSU rRNA". It matches the Rfam family "Bacterial small subunit ribosomal RNA", at positions 241 to 856 of the family's 1533-position model. The record is from RNAcentral.